AGCCACUGCUAUUGGAAUCCGACUAAGACAUGCAAGUCAGAGAGCAAUCUCGGCGAACGGCUCAGUAACACGUAGUCAACCUGCCUUGAGGUAAGGGAUAAUCUCGGGAAACUGAGGCUAAUACCUUAUAGGAAAUGGGAUCUGGAACGCCCCAUUUCUGAAAGCUUCGGCGCCUCAAGAUGGGACUGCGGCUGAUUAGGCUGUUGGUGGUGUAACGGACCACCAAGCCUAUGAUCAGUACGGGCCAUGAGAGUGGUAGCCCGGAGAAGGGGACUGAGACAAGGCCCCUAGCCCUACGGGGUGCAGCAGUUACGAAACCUUUACAAUGCGCGAAAGCGUGAUAAGGGGAUUCCAAGUGCCAUAACUCCGUUAUGGCUGUGGCGAAGUGUAAAAAGCUUCGCAAGAAAGGGGUGGGCAAUACCGGUGCCAGCAGCCGCGGUAAUCCCGGAGCCCCAAGUGGUGGCCAUGUUUAUUGGGCCUAAAGCGUCCGUAGCAGGGUCAGUAAGUUCUCGGUGAAAUCGUUCAGCUUAACUGAACGAAUUGCCUUGAAUACUGCUGGCCUAGGGAUCGGGAGAGGUCAGGGGUAUGCCUUGGGGAGGGGUAAAAUCCUUUAAUCCAAGGUAGACCGCCGAUGGCGAAGGCACCUGACUGGAACGAGUCCGACUGUGAGGGACGAAAGCUAGGGUAGCAAACGGGAUUAGAUACCCCGGUAGUCCUAGCCGUAAACGCUGCCCGCUGGGCGUUGCACAUUCUUCGAGUUUGUGCAGUGCCGUAGUGAAGACGUUAAGCGGGCCGCCUGGGGAGUACGGUCGCAAGGCUGAAACUUAAAGGAAUUGGCGGGGGAGCACAACAAGGGGGGGAGCCUGCGGUUC
Molecule: ribosomal RNA, 872 nt
Filed under: uncultured euryarchaeote
Lineage: Archaea; Methanobacteriati; Methanobacteriota
Description: bacterial SSU rRNA
Rfam family: Archaeal small subunit ribosomal RNA
Source: RNAcentral